Molecule: long non-coding RNA, 351 nt
Organism: Neopsephotus bourkii (Bourke's parrot)
Lineage: Eukaryota; Metazoa; Chordata; Aves; Psittaciformes; Psittacidae
Exons: 2
Source: RefSeq, a predicted model, not a curated record
AGAAAUAGUUAAGGAAAUGGAUCCAGGCGUUAUCACCCUGGUCUGGCUUAAGUCCUGGGAACAGUAAAGAAAAUACCAGGUGUCAAUACCCUGGUCGGGCCUAAGCCUUGGGAACUGUAAAGAGAACAUGAAGGGUAAAGAUCGGUUAGCAAAAUAAAGCAGGCGGUUUGCAAGAUAAAGCAGGAUGUGCAUCUCAAAGACAGACCAAACAGUGUAAAUAUUUGUAACCCUUAGUAGUGUUGCUAAAUCAGGAUGACAAGGGAGUAAAAGAGUGGAAAGUUACUGCUUAGCACCUAGUAGACUAUAAAAGGGAUGUGAAAUGUGAAAUAAAAGUCUUCAGAUUUCACCAGA